Molecule: ribosomal RNA, 305 nt
Filed under: uncultured bacterium
Lineage: Bacteria
Description: bacterial SSU rRNA
Rfam family: Bacterial small subunit ribosomal RNA
Source: RNAcentral
UUGCCUACGGGACGCAGCAGUGGGGAAUAUUGCACAAUGGGGGAAACCCUGAUGCAGCAACGCCGCGUGAGUGAAGAAGUAUUUCGAUAUGUAAAGCUCUAUCAGCAGGGAAGAAGAUGACGGUACCUGAGUAAGAAGCCCCGGCUAACUACGUGCCAGCAGCCGCGGUAAUACGUAGGGAGCAAGCGUUAUCCGGAUUUAUUGGGUGUAAAGGGUGCGUAGACGGGAAUGCAAGUUGGUUGUGAAAUCCCUCGGCUUAACUGAGGAACUGCAACCAAAACUACAUUUCUUGAGUGCUGGAGAGG